ACAAGUGUCGCCAUCUAACAGUAAUAACUGUUACUUUAUUUUAUCGACAGGUAGAAUAUGUGCCACCAUCUAACGGUACUUGCUAAUACUUCAUCUUACCGACUGGUAGAAUAUGUGCAGCCAUCUAGCGGUAGUUACUGUUACUUCAUUUUACCGACAGACAGAACAUGUGCCGCCAUCUAGCAAUAGUAGAAUAUGUGCCGCCAUCUAGACGUCAGAUAACACAUCACUAACAUAAUUUCGCCUGGAUAAAAUCAACACGGCUACCUGUCAAUGUACUUUGAAUGCAAAUACAGGAUAUAUGCAGUGUAAAAUAUUUAAUUUGAAAAAAGACGAAGAAUCUAGUUAAAAAAUUACAAGUCAUAUUAUUGGAGUAGACUGAAAAUAUAUUCGAUUCCCAUCAUAUCUGAGGACUUACAGAAGUUUCCUGUUACCAAAAGGACAAUCAGAAGACAUCCAAUGGAUUUUUAACACACAUCAGCGGCUAAAAAACCAACGUACUACGUUUUACAAUUAUAUUUUUAUAUAAAUUGUAAUCUAUCUAUCUUACAAAUGAA
This is a long non-coding RNA of Polistes dominula (European paper wasp), 557 nucleotides long. Lineage: Eukaryota; Metazoa; Arthropoda; Insecta; Hymenoptera; Vespidae. The record is from RefSeq and is a predicted model, not a curated record.